Molecule: ribosomal RNA, 489 nt
Filed under: uncultured bacterium
Lineage: Bacteria
Description: partial 16S ribosomal RNA
Rfam family: Bacterial small subunit ribosomal RNA
Source: RNAcentral
GAUGAACGCUAGCUACAGGCUUAACACAUGCAAGUCGAGGGGCAGCAUGAUUGAAGCUUGCUUCAAUCGAUGGCGACCGGCGCACGGGUGAGUAACACGUAUCCAACCUGCCGAUAACUCGGGGAUAGCCUUUCGAAAGAAAGAUUAAUACCCGAUAGUAUAGUAUUUCCGCAUGGUUUCACUAUUAAAGAACUUCGGUUAUCGAUGGGGAUGCGUUCCAUUAGAUAGUUGGCGGGGUAACGGCCCACCAAGUCAACGAUGGAUAGGGGUUCUGAGAGGAAGGUCCCCCACAUUGGAACUGAGACACGGUCCAAACUCCUACGGGAGGCAGCAGUGAGGAAUAUUGGUCAAUGGACGAGAGUCUGAACCAACCAAGUAGCGUGAAGGAUGACUGCCCUAUGGGUUGUAAACUUCUUUUAUACGGGAAUAAAGUGGAGUAUGCAUACUCCUUUGUAUGUACCGUAUGAAUAAGGAUCGGCUAACUCCGUG